This 421-nucleotide ribosomal RNA is filed under the name uncultured bacterium. Its description in RNAcentral is "bacterial SSU rRNA". It matches the Rfam family "Bacterial small subunit ribosomal RNA", at positions 357 to 776 of the family's 1533-position model. The record is from RNAcentral.
AGGAAUAUUGGUCAAUGGACGAGAGUCUGAACCAGCCAAGUAGCGUGAAGGAUGACUGCCCUAUGGGUUGUAAACUUCUUUUAUAUGGGAAUAAAACAGGGUAUGCAUACCCUCUUGUAUGUACCAUAUGAAUAAGGAUCGGCUAACUCCGUGCCAGCAGCCGCGGUAAUACGGAGGAUCCGAGCGUUAUCCGGAUUUAUUGGGUUUAAAGGGAGCGUAGGUGGAUUGUUAAGUCAGCGGUAAAAUGUCCGGGCUCAACCCGGGCCGGCCGUUGAAACUGGGGGUCUUGAGUGGGCGAGAAGUAUGCGGAAUGCGUGGUGUAGCGGUGAAAUGCAUAGAUAUCACGAAGAACUCCGAUUGCGAAGGCAGCAUACCGGCGCCCUACUGACGCUGAGGCACGAAAGCGUGGGGAUCGAACAGG